GGGGGCGACACGGUUUCGACUGGAUAGGUAGAUUGUGUGACUGCAUGCCGAGGAUGAUCGUUGGCCUCGUUAAUCAUCGAUUAAAACAAUAAUUGCAGAAGAGCAAUUCGCACUGGCUGCUUAAUCUCGGCCACGUUUUUACCCUGACGGACGCUAAGGGAUAAAAACGUUAGCAGCGUUCUGGCUCGUUGAUUUUGUCUUUCGGUUACGAGCGAGAUUAAAGGAAGAAUAGUCUUAAUGCAGGCCUGUCCAUUGGCUUUGCGGCGGGACGAAAAACACUGAUUAUGGAACAAGCAUGUAGACGUCCUCAUGAAUCCUUUUCAGGACGGGGGUUCGACUCCCCCCGCCUCCACCA
This 355-nucleotide transfer-messenger RNA is filed under the name Victivallales. RNAcentral's name for it is "JAFGXT01 sp016936495 Standard tmRNA". It matches the Rfam family "transfer-messenger RNA". From Rfam's summary of the family: Bacterial tmRNA, also known as 10Sa RNA or SsrA, is named for its dual tRNA and mRNA-like properties. Its role is to liberate the mRNA from a stalled ribosome. The record is from RNAcentral. RNAcentral also lists the same sequence under 1 other name. Lineage: Bacteria; Pseudomonadati; Lentisphaerota; Lentisphaeria.